Frankliniella occidentalis (western flower thrips) is the source of this 870-nucleotide long non-coding RNA. RefSeq lists it as uncharacterized. The transcript is spliced from 3 exons. Lineage: Eukaryota; Metazoa; Arthropoda; Insecta; Thysanoptera; Thripidae. The record is from RefSeq and is a predicted model, not a curated record.
CACGCGCCCAGCCAGCAGCUUUAAUUUCGCCUGUCGGUCCGAUGGGGGGAACCAUACAUUCGCCGAGAUAUCGGCCUGGUCCGGGCGGCCUGAGCGUGGGAGGGGGUCGCGGGGGCGUACUCGGCAGCUGGGGGAGGGACGCGGGGAUGGAGGGGGUGGCGUCGAUAAAUUUCUAGAGAAUCGAGCAGGGAACUAGAGUGGAGUCGAAUUGCGCCGAGUCGAGAGAGCGAACAGGGCGGGCGGUAAGAAGCCAAGAAUGGUGGGCGAUCUAGUGUACGUGGUGCUGUUUUGAGCGUCAUCGCUGUUUCCCUCCGCCCGCCCUUGGCAAAGUCAAACCACCCCAACAUGUGAGCGAAAACAGAGCUGGGAAAUCAGUCACCUGCUGCCGCGUGCUGCUGGGACAGGGGCGCCCCUCCUGGCCCGUCCCAGCCUGCAUCGCGGCUAGCAUGCCCUGCGACCGGGCUGGCAGGUGGUUUGGUAAAAAAAAAAAAGCGUUAGGCCCUCGUGCCCUUCUGUGUGUGUGCGACAUUCUUGUUAGGAGUUGGACACGCGACACGCUGGGGGGAUUACCCUCACCGCAGAUGCUCAAACUGCUUUGAUAUAGCGUGAUGUACUGGGUGUUCUAUAAGAAACAGAAUUUCUGAGUUUAGGAAUGGGUCCUGCGUAUGCAGUGGUAAAACAGAGCCAAUAAUUUGCGUCACUCAAAGGUGCUUAUCGUUAUGUGCCUUUACAAUAGUCACUAUACUCCUCUAAGAUGCUAAAUUUAGCACCUUUUGCACACGUUGGUGCCUUUUAAUUUUUUGUUUAUUUGUAGCACUCCUUAAAAAGUCGUGAUUGUCAGGUUCAUUUUUCCAGGCUAUGUGCAGAGCC